RNAcentral lists this ribosomal RNA (327 nucleotides) under uncultured eukaryote. RNAcentral describes it as "partial 18S ribosomal RNA". It matches the Rfam family "Eukaryotic small subunit ribosomal RNA", at positions 1470 to 1796 of the family's 1831-position model. The record is from RNAcentral.
CCCUUAGAUGUUCUGGGCCGCACGCGCGCUACACUGACGAAUGCAACGAGCUUAUAACCUUGGCCGAAAGGUCUGGGUAAUCUCCAAAUUUCGUCGUGAUGGGGAUAGAUUAUUGCAAUUAUUAAUCUUCAACGAGGAAUGCCUAGUAAGCGCAAGUCAUCAGCUUGCGUUGAUUACGUCCCUGCCCUUUGUACACACCGCCCGUCGCUCCUACCGAUUGAAUGGUCCGGUGAAGCGUUCGGACCGUGGCCUUUGGACGGUUCGCCGCCUGUUGGCUGCGGGAAGUUCGUUAAACCUUNUNAUUUAGNGGAAGGAGAANUCGUANCA